This 253-nucleotide ribosomal RNA is filed under the name uncultured bacterium. RNAcentral describes it as "partial 16S ribosomal RNA". It matches the Rfam family "Bacterial small subunit ribosomal RNA", at positions 524 to 776 of the family's 1533-position model. The record is from RNAcentral.
UACAGAGGGUGCGAGCGUUGUUCGGAAUUACUGGGCGUAAAGGGCUCGUAGGUGGCCAACUAAGUCGGACGUGAAAUCCCUCAGCUUAACUGGGGAACUGCGUCCGAUACUGGAUGGCUCGAGUUUGGGAGAGGGAUGCGGAAUUCCAGGUGUAGCGGUGAAAUGCGUAGAUAUCUGGAGGAACACCGGUGGCGAAGGCGGCAUCCUGGACCAACACUGACACUGAGGAGCGAAAGCCAGGGGAGCAAACGGG